UUGCGGCGGUCGGAGAGUUCGGCGCGAGCGGCACCGGUGGUAGAGGAGAGGAAACGGCUGAGGGGGAGCGCGCUGAGGGGAACCGAACCGAACCGAACCGAACCGAACCGAACCGAACCGGGCGGCUGCGGCAAGUGGCUGUGAGUGCCGGGGCUGAGGGGAACCGAACCGAACUGAGCGGCUGUGAGUGCCGGUGCUGAGGGGAACCGAACCGGCCUGAGGAUCUUUUUCCCUGCCAUGAAUCUGAAGCAGCCCUGAUUCCUGGGCGGAAUGGCCGAGGAGAGAAGGCAGGGAUCGAGUCCCUGCUUUCGCAGGAGCCGAGGAGCUCCGUCCACCUCUGGAAUUCUUCGUCAGAAAAUUCCCGGAAAUUCCCGGAUUCGUUUCCCAGAACGGUUUUAUUUAAAAAGACAAAACUUUAUUUAUUUGUACAGUCACUUUUUGGGGAAAACUCCCCAAAAAAUCUCAUUUUAUCCCAAAUUUUGGUGGUUUUCCAUUUCUGUUCCUUAUCCACGGGGAUGAACCUCGAGGAGUUUCGGUUUUAUCCGGGAGGAAUUUCUCCAUUCCCUCUUUUCAAGUGGUUUUUUGUCCCCUCUCUUCCCGAAAAAAACCCAGGAGAAACCACCUGGAAAUGGAAUUUCCGGCCCUGGAUUCUCCCUCGGUGGAGAAUUUGGUUCAUGGGGGUUUAAUUGGGAUUUUUUGGGGGUUUAAUUAGAAUUUUUGGGGGGUUUAAUUGGAAUGUUUUUUUGAGUUUAAUUGGAAUUUUUGGCGGGUUUAAUAGGAGAUUUAUGGGGUUUAAUUAAGGAUUUUUGGAGUUUAAUUGAAGAUUUUUUUGUGGUUUAUUGGGGAUUUUUUGGAGUU
Non-coding RNA from Cyanistes caeruleus (blue tit), 858 nucleotides. The record is from RefSeq and is a predicted model, not a curated record. NCBI's taxonomy places the organism in Eukaryota, Metazoa, Chordata, Aves, Passeriformes, Paridae.